AAUGGAUAAAAUUUCAGGUGAGAACGUGACAUCAAUGCUGAGCGGAUGCUCUGAAACUUCAAAAUUAGCCAGGCUAUAGGAAACCAACCCCCACAAUAUUUUUCAAGGAACCUUGGGUCCAAAUCACUCUGAUAAUGACCACUCGGAAUUUAUUUUGGGGGUGGGUGGGUGCACCAGGCACAAACCAGGUGCCAGGGAGCAGACAGUUCUCUUCAAUUUGCUGUAUGCUGUGUGCUGACACCAUGAAGGGCCACCUCUGCUCCCCUUUUGCAGCAGUGAGGCUGAAAAUAGGUUGAUAAACACCUUUGUGCAAAGGGGGAAAGAGACAUUUGUUUUCUCAGUGCCACCCUGCAGCAGGGCCAGGAGAAGAUUUCCCUCUCCCGGACCCCAGAUCAGCGCCUUUGCUCUGGGAUCCCAGCUCCCAGGUCUAUCAGAUGCAGAGCGCUCCCACACCUCCCCAAAUCCAUAUUUAUUAGCUCAGAGAAAGCAUUUCGGAUCUCGGCUCCCGUGCACCGAGCAGCUCGCCCACGAGCAGCUUCCAAACGCCUCCCUGCCCGCUGCCGGGAAGCUGACUCGUGGCGUUCUGCCUCCCAAAUCCAAUCAGCCAAUUACGCUCCCUAAUUGCCUACAAUGGAUUUAAUUGGGCUGGGACAACAUGCAGCACCUCAAUAAAUUCCCCACAAAAAUGAGGAAAGUAGCACAGCAACGGGCCCUUGGCAUUAGGCAUUACCUCCCAGCCCCAACCACUCUUGGUUUCCAGUGCCAGUGGCUGCCACCGCCUGGGGACACUUGUCACCACGGGUCAGGUGAUGCUCAGCUCCUGGGGCCACACAAACCAGCAGCGUCCCGGUGCAGCAAACACCUGAGCAAGAACGGAGCUAUCCAUCACAGAGCAUCGAGCUCAUCAGCCGGAGCAUCUGCCUGAGCAAAUCACCUCCAACAGUCGUUAGCCCAGAGCUCGCUGCUCACGGAGCAGGCAGGAGGCUGCCAGCAGCCCGGGGGUGUGCAGGUUAUGGCAGGGCAUCCCAAAGCCCCACCGACGUGAGGCACUGCACACCCUCCUACGACCCAAGUCCAAACAGAAAGCAAUC
This 1091-nucleotide long non-coding RNA is filed under the name Anas platyrhynchos platyrhynchos (common mallard). RNAcentral's name for it is "lncRNA (ENSAPLG00000020446.1)". Lineage: Eukaryota; Metazoa; Chordata; Aves; Anseriformes; Anatidae. The record is from RNAcentral.